RNAcentral lists this long non-coding RNA (1161 nucleotides) under Bos grunniens (domestic yak). RNAcentral's name for it is "lncRNA (ENSBGRG00000005695.1)". Lineage: Eukaryota; Metazoa; Chordata; Mammalia; Artiodactyla; Bovidae. The record is from RNAcentral.
GGGAUGGAGAGAAAAAUCAGCUGUUCAGCUCCCUCUCUGCUCUCCAGUGAAAGCCCUGAGACUGGAAAUCUCUACGAUUCUUCUCCAGUGCUUUUCAAGUUUUAAUCGAAGAACAUCUUUGUGAUCAGAUUAACCAAAUAUUGACCCCCAAAAGGAAGCUAAGACUCAGAGAAGAUCGGUAGAGACCUUUCAAGCCUCUAAUAUGUGAGGAAAUGACCAGCUCGAAGCAGAUACUAAUUUUCCCUGCCCCCUCACCCCCACCCCAAUGAGCUGGCACAUGCUGGAGGUGGUGCAUGGCAGAGCUGCGCUGCUCCUAAGAGGUAUGUUUCUGAAGAGAACGGGAAAUGGGCACCGCUGCACACAGGUGUGGUCCUCUGUGGUCCCACCCGUCUUCCCAGAAAGUCCCUGGAGUAGCCACACCUAAGAAAGUGAUCCAAUCAAGAAAACAAAACAUUCCACCCUGCAUCAGGGUCAGCAGUUUAGGAGGUGACGGGAACUGAGUUCUGCGAUAUUACUGUCGCCAGUGGUGACUUGCACAGAGGAGCCCCUGGAGCCCCUGAGAGCCACACCUGGCCCCUCGGACACCAAACUCAUGGCCGCCUAGCACUCAGAUGACGGGGGAGCUGUGCCUUCUUGGCAGGCAGGACCCUGCCAACAGGUAAGACUUCCCAGACUGGGAGUAAACACAGGCAGUCCUUCCAGAUCAGGUGUGCGUGUCUGUCUGGCGGAGAGGAGGCAGGGAUCAAUUGCAGGGGAAAGAACUUGAGCUGGUGCACGAGGAAAAUGAGAGCUUUUCUUCCUCAGUUCAAGAGCUGCCUCAGCAGCCAAUGACAGAGUAUCUGCCUGGGGUUUUAUGUUGUUUUACACCAGGUAAAGCUGCUUUCAGCCAACAAUAUUCCCUGUGCCAGGGACUAUGCACGGACUGGGAGAAGAAGUGGAGGACAGACUGUGAUGAUCUCUGACUUUCUGGAGGCUCAGCUGAACUGGGGAGAUGGAUGCUGCAUGAGAGACUAAGCUAACAGAGGAAAUGAUGCUCUGAAGGAAGUGGAAAUGGUGAACAUCAGGGCUGGACUGUUUUGGAUCUGAAGGCAAAGCAAGCACUUUCUGAGGAGAGCACCUUUAAACCAAAUUAACAAUUGUGGUGCUGGAGAAGACUCUUGA